Molecule: non-coding RNA, 322 nt
Organism: Pristis pectinata (smalltooth sawfish)
Lineage: Eukaryota; Metazoa; Chordata; Chondrichthyes; Rhinopristiformes; Pristidae
Source: RefSeq, a predicted model, not a curated record
AGCUUGUGUCUGCAGUGACCAAUGGUUCCCAUUACUGCGCUCCAUACAGAGGAGCAGCCUAGAGUGGGCACUGAGUACAUCACCACAACUACAUCCCAUGUGCAUGUACUCUGUGUACUCUGACACCUUCUCCCCAUCCCCCCAAUCUGCCUUCCAACCCCUUUCCCCACACACUUACUCACAGAAUCCUGUUGUCACGGGGAUGCUGGCUUUACCAGUGCCUUCAUCGAUCUCCAAACAGGAAGAGCAAAGUGUCCCAGUCCCAGAUAUUGUUGAUAAGACGAGAGCACUGUUCUGUCAGACACUGAAGGCUGGUACAAGU